UUUAUUUUUAUGCCCCACCUACGAUAGUAGAGGGGCAUUAUGUUUUCUGGUCUGUGCGUCCGUUCGUCCGUCGUUCGUUCGUCCGUUCGUUCGUUCCGUUCGUCCGUCUGUCCCGCUUCAGGUUAAAGUUUUUGGUCGAGGUAGUUUUUGAUGAAGUUGAAGUCCAAUCAACUUGAAACUUAGUACCCAUGUUCCUUAUGAUAUGAUCUUUCUAAUUUAAAUGCCAAAUUAGAGUUUUGACCCCAAUUUUACGGUUCACUG
This 261-nucleotide long non-coding RNA is filed under the name Mytilus galloprovincialis (Mediterranean mussel). The record is from RNAcentral. Lineage: Eukaryota; Metazoa; Mollusca; Bivalvia; Mytilida; Mytilidae.